UUAACACAUAUUUGUCCAUAAAAAGUGUCAUUUUUUUAUUUCUUUUUUUCAUUGUAAUUUUUUUAAACAACAUAUUUGGAUAUAAAUACGAUAUAUUUUAGAAUUUUAGCUAUUAAAUAACUCAAAUAUCAAUACAUUAUAAUUGAAGUCAAUAUAACUAUUCAUAAAAAAAUCGCAUAUUUUCUUGUUUUAGUGUUUAACACAUAUAUUUAAUUUUAAAAACGAGGAAUAAAAUAAGUAUAAAUAUAUCUACUUGUGCUGAUUUGGUGUAGUAAACAUAGUCACCUUGAGAAGG
Molecule: long non-coding RNA, 295 nt
Filed under: Lathyrus oleraceus (garden pea)
Lineage: Eukaryota; Viridiplantae; Streptophyta; Magnoliopsida; Fabales; Fabaceae
Description: Pisum sativum (pea) long non-coding RNA (PSAT_LNC005643)
Source: RNAcentral